This 2760-nucleotide unclassified non-coding RNA is filed under the name Hevea brasiliensis (rubber tree). Lineage: Eukaryota; Viridiplantae; Streptophyta; Magnoliopsida; Malpighiales; Euphorbiaceae. The record is from RNAcentral.
AAAUAAUAUGAAAAUAUAAUCAGCCCAAUAUUAAAGAGACUUGAAUUUAAAACCUCCUCUUCAUUCUACGACCUCAACUUUGAUUAAUUUGACCACUAGACUAAGGCCUCAUUGGUGACCAUUUAUUUGUAUUUCCUUUGUUUCUUGAGCAGACAUACACUGCACAUCAGCAAUUGAAAGUAUGCAAGUCUAAUGAAGCUUGAAAAUUUGAAACAGCUCCUUUUGGAGAAGAAUAUCUAGAAAUUAUAACCAAUGAAGUCAAAUAAUGAAUGACAUAUUAUAUGACUUUGCAAAAUUUAAAUGGUCAAAGCUUUACAACAAUGGAAAUGAGUUAAAAAUGUACAUAGCCAACACAAUCUGCGAUUACAUACCUUCUGUUUAUUAUUUUGGCAUAAAGAGUAAUUGGCUGUAGCUUCUAAAUUACUUUCAACUUCAUAGAAACAAAUUGCACCAUAAUUUAGAAUGAUAAGGAGGGGAAAGAAAUACAAAAUAAAAUUACCCUACAAGCAACUCGGUGCUUCUAUGAACUUUGCAGCAGCAGCCAAGCCACUAAGUAUUGCACCUUCUACAUUUGGACUAACACAAAAAUCUCCACAGAUGGCCAGUCUCUUCUUACCAUCCCAGAAGCAUUUUUCUUCUUCGGCUACACUUGCUGCUGGGAAAGCACUUCCCCAUCGAUGAGCCUUUUUGAAAAAUGGUUGCGAGCCAUGGAGUCCAGUUCUUUUAAAUUCUUCCAACAAUUCUUCAGCAACUUUUGCUAAUGUUGCAGUUGACGGCUUCUGAAGUCCAGUUUGAGCAAUUAAAUCACGAGCAUACUUUGCUGUUGAAUGCAAUACCCAUCGUUCACUUGUGGUUGAACGACCAGGCUUGCUGCUGUCACUGUGACCCCAGCUUAAAACUUCAGAAUUUUUGAAUGAGAAGCCUUUUACAGGUAUCUUAACCACCAUGCCAAAAUUCCAUCAGGAUAUAUAAGCCUCGCAAAAUGUGUUAUUUUAUUUGGAAGAUUGAAGAAGAUAUAUAACUACAAUCCAAGGGUCUAAGGACUAAGGGCAAAAGAGGGAAGAACGAAAAAAAGAGGGUGUCGAAGUGAACUCAAGUCAUACAAUCAUAUUACCAAUGUCAUCUAUGCAAAAUUCCGAAGUUCUAAAACUGCUUAGCAGGAAUAUCUUGUAACUUACUGAAGACAAAGGCUCAGUGAAUGCCAGCAUAAGAGCAAAACAUGGAUUAACAGGAAUAUCUUGCAACUUCAUUGCCAAUUCUGGAGCCAAACUCAAAUCAAGGGGCGGUGGACAUCCUGUCACGUCUUUAAAUCUCGUAGAAAAAAUAUUUUUGUCCGAUGCGACCACUCCCUUAAAAGAACCAUGAUUUUGUCCAUCCAUGCCCAUCACCAACCAUGAAUUUUCACUAUCUAACCAGUCCAGCCUCCCAACUCCUAUCCCAAACUUGCUUUCCACUCCAGUCUCAUUGCAUAAUGCUUUACAAAUAGAAUUCAUGCCCGGCACACCAACAUAUCUUUUGCCCAGUCCUUCCUAAAUAAAUUGAUAUCAAAAGUUAUGGCCAUGAUAAAGGCAGAUUAAAAAAAAUGUAUGUCUAGCUCUUUGGUUAUUACCGCGCAUCAAGUAUCUGCUUGAAACUAAAAUUGACAUUAGACAGUUUAGGCACAAUGACAGGCUACAUGCUUACUAAAAUUUUAUGGGAUUAUUCAAUGCUCCAGGUGCAAUAGAAAAUAUUGCACAUACUCUCACAUGAACAUGGAAUCCAUCUUCCACAAUUUAUAUGGACCCAACAUUUAUGUGAAUGCAGGGUCAUUAUUUUUUGAUGGAGAUACCUCUCUUACAAUUCAUGGGAUCCAAUCCCCUUAAUAUAAGAAAUAACUGAAAUUAUGUGUGAGAGGCACUAUUUUUCAGGGUUCCGAGUGUAUUUUAUAAAUUUCCUUUUUUAUGCGCCAGGAGUUCUAAAUAAUUGCUCCAUUUUGAGAAUCACACAGUUUUAGGCAAAAGCAAAAAGUUGCGAGCAAAUUAUAUAAGUAAAACUGUUAACACUUUUAGUCAGCAAAAUAUAAAUGUAAAACCAAGCAUUACCUAAUGGGAAACGUCAAUGAUUUAUUGAUAUGCAUGAAUAGCUCUAAACCUGAUCUAUGUCAAGAAAUUUGUUGGAGAGACAAUCGAAAGACCCAAAAUUCUCUUUCCACUCAGCAACAAGACCUUUCAGUUCCCACUCGUGAAGAAGCUUUAACACAUCAGUGUUGCUAAUACUAAAAAAUGGGGCACCAUGAUCGAACAAAAGCUCCUUCCCAUCUUCAGCAAUUUCUCUUCUCUGGGACAUACGGCCUCCAGGGCCUCGGGCUGAUUCGAAGAGGGUGACUGAAACUCCAUUCCUUGCAAGAGUUGAUGCGCAUACAGCUCCAGAUACUGCCUUGACCAUAAAAUUUCACAUAGAGAGCAACAAAAACACACACAGAGACAUGUAUUGAAGAAAGAGAAACAGAGAGAGAGGUGAUACUGACUUCCACUUCCAACCACGGCGACCCUAGUAACAAUGUUGCUCAUGGUGUGUGCUUCACAUACAGAGACAAGAGAGCGAGAAUCAGAGAUCCAAGUCGCUGCUGAAUGCUGAUCGCCUUCGAGUUCGACUAGGAUUGUUUUAACCUUGUUACUUAGGGUCUCUUUGGACGAGGGCGAGGGAGGUGGAAAUAAAGGUAAGUUGGAUAAUUAAUUAUUUUAAGCUUCAGGGAGGAGGAGGAGGAGGGGAGGAGGUGAG